CGAAUGUGAAUAUGACCAAAAGACUAUCGUAAGCUUCUUCAAGGAAGGAGAUUCACUGCACCCUACUUUAACUGACGUAAUAGUAUUCACAUCUACUCCAGACAAAGUUAACAACAAAUAUUACUUGGGACCUGCCCCUCUGGAUGACAUGGCCUGGCAAAUAGCAACUGCUUAUGGUCCUUGCGGAAACAACAGAGACUACCUUUUCCUUCUA
Non-coding RNA from Cajanus cajan (pigeon pea), 214 nucleotides. Lineage: Eukaryota; Viridiplantae; Streptophyta; Magnoliopsida; Fabales; Fabaceae. The record is from RefSeq and is a predicted model, not a curated record.